This 492-nucleotide ribosomal RNA is filed under the name uncultured bacterium. RNAcentral describes it as "partial 16S ribosomal RNA". It matches the Rfam family "Bacterial small subunit ribosomal RNA", at positions 29 to 507 of the family's 1533-position model. The record is from RNAcentral.
AGUGAACGCUGGCGGUAGGCCUAACACAUGCAAGUCGAACGGCAGCACAGUAAGAGCUUGCUCUUACGGGUGGCGAGUGGCGGACGGGUGAGGAAUACAUCGGAAUCUACUUUUUCGUGGGGGAUAACGUAGGGAAACUUACGCUAAUACCGCAUACGACCUACGGGUGAAAGCAGGGGGUCUUCGGACCUUGCGCGAUUGAAUGAGCCGAUGUCGGAUUAGCUAGUUGGCGGGGUAAAGGCCCACCAAGGCGACGAUCCGUAGCUGGUCUGAGAGGAUGAUCAGCCACACUGGAACUGAGACACGGUCCAGACUCCUACGGGAGGCAGCAGUGGGGAAUAUUGGACAAAGGGCGCAAGCCUGAUCCAGCCAUACCGCGUGGGUUAAGAAGGCCUUCGGGUUGUAAAGCCCUUUUGUUGGGAAAGAAAAGCAGCAGGUUAAUACCCCGCUGUUCUGACGGUACCCAAAGAAUAAGCACCGGCUAACUUCGUG